AGAUUGAACGCUGGCGGCAUGCCUUACACAUGCAAGUCGAACGGCAGCGCGGGGCAACCUGGCGGCGAGUGGCGAACGGGUGAGUAAUAUAUCGGAACGUACCCUGGAGUGGGGGAUAACGUAGCGAAAGUUACGCUAAUACCGCAUACGAUCUAAGGAUGAAAGUGGGGGAUUCGCAAGAACCUCAUGCUCCUGGAGCGGCCGAUAUCUGAUUAGCUAGUUGGUGGGUAAAGGCCUACCAAGGCAUCGAUCAGUAGCUGGUCUGAGAGGACGACCAGCCACACUGGAACUGAGACACGGUCCAGACUCCUACGGGAGGCAGCAGUGGGGAAUUUUGGACAAUGGGCGAAAGCCUGAUCCAGCAAUGCCGCGUGAGUGAAGAAGGCCUUCGGUUGUAAAGCUCUUUGUCAGGAAGAAACGGUGAGAGCUAAUAUCUCUUGCUAAUGACGGUACCUGAAGAAUAAGCAACCGCUAACACGUAGCCACG
This 487-nucleotide ribosomal RNA is filed under the name uncultured soil bacterium. RNAcentral's name for it is "bacterial SSU rRNA". It matches the Rfam family "Bacterial small subunit ribosomal RNA", at positions 26 to 519 of the family's 1533-position model. The record is from RNAcentral.